This 477-nucleotide ribosomal RNA is filed under the name uncultured bacterium. RNAcentral's name for it is "bacterial SSU rRNA". It matches the Rfam family "Bacterial small subunit ribosomal RNA", at positions 107 to 598 of the family's 1533-position model. The record is from RNAcentral.
UGAGUAACGCGUGGGGAACCUGCCCUUAAGUUCGGGAUACCAACUCGAAAGGGUUGUUAAUACCGGAUGUGCUGCAUUAGCCGCACGGCGGAUGUAGUAGAGGGGAGACCCGCUUAAGGAUGGCCCUGCGUUCCAUUAGCUAGUUGGUGGGGUAACGGCCUACCAAGGCGACGAUGGAUAGCCGGCCUGAGAGGGCGACCGGCCACACUGGGACUGAGACACGGCCCAGACUCCUACGGGGGGCAGCAGUGGGGAAUCUUGCACAAUGGGCGGAAGCCUGAUGCAGCGACGCCGCGUGAGGGACGAAGGUCUUCGGAUCGUAAACCUCUGUCCAAAGGGACGAAGGAGUGACGGUACCUUUGGAGGAAGCCCCGGCCAACUACGUGCCAGCAGCCGCGGUAAGACGUAGGGGGCGAGCGUUGUCCGGAAUCAUUGGGCGUAAAGGGCGCGUAGGCGGUGACGUAAGUCAGGCGUGAA